Molecule: long non-coding RNA, 1549 nt
Organism: Lemur catta (Ring-tailed lemur)
Lineage: Eukaryota; Metazoa; Chordata; Mammalia; Primates; Lemuridae
Exons: 3
Source: RefSeq, a predicted model, not a curated record
AGCCUUAGGCAAAUUUUAUUUCUCCAAGAAGAAAGAGUCAUAUAAAUCAGUGCUUAAAAUUAAAAUUAUAAACAGCUAACAUUUUGGCAGUCUGAGGAUGUAAAACUGGCUUUCAUUUGCAAGACCUACUUAAAAGUCUUUCACAUUGUAUAUUUUUUUUAAAAAAAAAUUGGCACAUAUUUCCAUGAUGCUUUCUAAAGAAUGUCUUCAUUUAGAUUUGACUCAUCAGUGAAUCUAGAGAAGAAGCUCUUCCACAGGAGAAUAUCCAGCAGCAUCUGGAAAAGAAAGACAGAGUAUUAUUUACCUAACAGAUUUCAUUGGAACUAAGUGAAACAAAGAGGAAGCCAAGCCUGGGCCAUGUCUACAAAACCCUGAUGACAGAGUGAACAGCAGAUAGAGGGGAACUGAGGCAAGAUGCUGGCAUGUUCAGGGAAAAGAAUAACAGCAAAACCAACAAGGCAGUCUCAGUAGGAAGAAGGACCUCCACCAAAGAGUGAGCACUAGAGGUUUUGGAGGUUUGCAGGAAGAAAAGCUGUGAAAUAUUAAAAAAAAAUACCGUGGGAGCAUCACCAGACUAGAGAACAUGUUAGAAUUUGGGGGCAACACUGAAUACCUUCAUGAAGUUACUGGUCAUGAGUCAAAGUGAGAACAAAGCUUAGAUACCCUAGCAGAAAUCUUGUCUGGAUGAGAUGCUGGUGGUUGAUCAUUAGAUUCAUCACCUAGCCCAGGGCUGUUGGUUGAUGCCUGAGACCCAUGGAGGAAGGGACAAAGAAUCAUAUGUAAAAAAGCAAAAGAAAACACUGCACCACUAAAAGCUUUGAAAUAUUAACACUACUUUUAAAGCAUGUAAACAAAAGAUGAGAAGAUGACCGUCUCUCCCCAUCCCACCGCUCAUCAUGGAGCACCUCAAAGAAUCUCCUGCUUUGGCACUGGUGGAAUUUUCAGCCUUACCAGGUGAAAGUGGUGGUGACCUGAGGAGGAUUAUGGGACCUGUGAGUGUGCACAAGCAGGAGGACACUGCUGGACCCACGAAGAGGAAAAGGAUCAAGAUGUGAACACCAUGUGGUGACUGACUAGAACGUCUCACCACGAAGGUCCCUCUGAGAGUUCCCAGAAGGACCUGAAUGUAGACUCUGUCGAUAAAAGAUUCAUGAAGGUUUGCUGUGGGAGGAGGAAUUCUAAACACAAACCUUGCUCUGGCUGGUACAGAAGGGAAAGUCAAAAAGAUUUAAAGCACAAGUGGACCUGGCACAUCACUGCUUGCUUGAAGACAGAAGAAAACCCAUGAGAUGGAGUGCAGAUAGUUAUAAGAUGCCAUGAUUGGACCUUGGCUAACACCCAGCAAAGAAAUAGACCCCAUCCCUAAAACUGUGAGGAACUGAAUUCUAGCAACCUGAAUGAGCUUGGAUGCAGACUUCUCCAUAGAGCCUGCAGACAAAAAACCCACCUGGAUAUCAGUUUGAUUUCAGUCUUCUGAUACCCUGAGCAGAGAAUCCACCCAAACUGGGAGCUCUUUGUUAAUAAAUGAGUGUUGUUUUAAGCCCCUAAA